Molecule: long non-coding RNA, 551 nt
Organism: Hippocampus zosterae (dwarf seahorse)
Lineage: Eukaryota; Metazoa; Chordata; Actinopteri; Syngnathiformes; Syngnathidae
Exons: 2
Source: RefSeq, a predicted model, not a curated record
CCUUGAGCAUGUGACAGGUGGCCCGUCGCGAGGCUCUGAAGCCCGAGCGGAGAGCCCGGUAGAGGGCCUUGCGGAGUCCGAUCAGCUGCUGGCCUCGGGGUGCCAACGCUCCCAGCCCCGCCCUGCUAAAGGUUUGGACCCCCCAUGCAGCAGUCGGACACAAACGACAACGCCACCGUUUGCAUGCAACCUUACAGGGUGAAUCCUCGCGAGAUGACCUCCGUCUCCUGCACCAGUCGCAGAGCCUUGCGGGACAUCCCCGUCAGCGUCUUGCUGUUGUGGAUCAGCGCGCGAAGCUGCGAGACCCGGGCGUGCACGGCCCGCUGGGCACUGCCCCGCCUCCACAGGGCCGCCGCCCAGCACAGCGUGGCCAGGACCAAGGGGGCGGCCGCCAGCGACCACGCGCCCCCGGACGCCGAGCACAGACCCAGCAGAACUGCCGCCAGGCCCAUCAGACCUGCCAAGUCCCUAAGUGGACACAGGUGUCUUUAUUUGUCUUUUUACCGUACACCCCAAGCUCAUCCCCCAUCAAAAUAAAUGUGAAAACUGGA